GGAGGGAUGCCCGAGCGGCCAAAGGGGCCAGGCUGUAAACCUGGUGGGCGCCGGCCCUUCGGAGGUUCGAAUCCUCCUCCCUCCACCA
This 88-nucleotide transfer RNA is filed under the name Bacillota bacterium. Its description in RNAcentral is "Firmicutes bacterium (hot springs metagenome) tRNA-Tyr". It matches the Rfam family "tRNA". Rfam says of the family: Transfer RNA (tRNA) molecules are approximately 80 nucleotides in length. RNAcentral also lists the same sequence under 4 other names. Lineage: Bacteria; Bacillati; Bacillota. The record is from RNAcentral.